This 206-nucleotide long non-coding RNA is filed under the name Mytilus galloprovincialis (Mediterranean mussel). Lineage: Eukaryota; Metazoa; Mollusca; Bivalvia; Mytilida; Mytilidae. The record is from RNAcentral.
UGAAAUUUAAUCAGUUGUAUUGUAUUUACAAAGCGCCGUAAAAUAUUGAUCAGAUUUUUUUAACUAUUUUUAUAUAACUAUGAAGAACAGCGAGGGAUAACAAUUCAGUAUAUAACGCAAACGCAUUAAAGUUACUAAUUUCGGCGACAUAUACCGGUAGUUUUAGUCAAAAUGUCAGAUUUUUUAUAUAUCUCGUAGGUAGUGCC